UGAGCAAUCUGCCCUUCUCAUCGGAAUAAGCGUUGGAAACGACGUCUAAUGCCGAAUACGACCUCCUUUCGCAUGAUCGGAGGUGGAAAGCUCCGGCGGAGAAGGAUGAGCUCGCGGCCUAUCAGCUUAUUGGUGAGGUAAUGGCUCACCAAGGCGACGACGGGUAGCCGGCCUGAGGAGGGUGACCGGCCACACGUGGGACUGAGACACGGCCAGACUCCGUAGGGA
Molecule: ribosomal RNA, 228 nt
Filed under: uncultured bacterium
Lineage: Bacteria
Description: partial 16S ribosomal RNA
Rfam family: Bacterial small subunit ribosomal RNA
Source: RNAcentral